AAUUGAUGGGGGCGGGACACCAAACGGUGGAGCAUGUGGUUUAAUUUGUAGCAACGCGCAGAACCUUCCCAGCUCUUGACAUUCGGGUUAAGGGCAUAGGAGAAGAUGUCCUUCAGUUUGGGUGGCCCCAGAACAGGUGCUGCAUGGCUGUCGUCAGCUCGUGUCGUGAGAUGUUGGGUUAAGUCCCGCAAGGAGCGCAACCCUCGCCCUUAGUUGCCAGCAUUUAGUUGGGCAUUUUAAGGGGACUGCCGGUGAUAAGCCGAGAGGAAGGUGGGGAUGAUGUAAAGUCCUCAUGCCCUUUACGGGGGGGGAUACACACGUGCUACAAGGGUGGUGACAGUGGGGAGAGAGAGAGCGGGGUAGAGAUUAUCUCCAAAAGCCAUUUCAGUUCGGAUUGCACUUUGCAAUUGGAGUGCAGGAAGUUGGAAUCGCUAGUAAUCGCGGAUCAGCAUGGGAAUACGUUCCCGGGCCUUGUACACACCGCCCGUCACACCAUGGGAGUUGGUUUUACCCGAAGGUAGUGCGCUAACCGCUAAGGUA
Molecule: ribosomal RNA, 540 nt
Filed under: Agrobacterium tumefaciens
Lineage: Bacteria; Pseudomonadati; Pseudomonadota; Alphaproteobacteria; Hyphomicrobiales; Rhizobiaceae
Description: bacterial SSU rRNA
Rfam family: Bacterial small subunit ribosomal RNA
Source: RNAcentral